GAUGAACGCUGGCGGCGUGCCUCAUACAUUCAAGUCGAGCGAACAGACGAGGAGCUUGCUCCUCUGACGUUAGCGGCGGACGGGUGAGUAACACGUGGAUAACCUACCUAUAAGACUGGGAUAACUUCGGGAAACCGGAGCUAAUACCGGAUAAUAUAUUGAACCGCAUGGUUCAAUAGUGAAAGACGGUUUUGCUGUCACUUAUAGAUGGAUCCGCGCCGCAUUAGCUAGUUGGUAAGGUAACGGCUUACCAAGGCAACGAUGCGUAGCCGACCUGAGAGGGUGAUCGGCCACACUGGAACUGAGACACGGUCCAGACUCCUACGGGAGGCAGCAGUAGGGAAUCUUCCGCAAUGGGCGAAAGCUUGACGGAGCAACGCCGCGUGAGUGAUGAAGGUCUUCGGAUCGUAAAACUCUGUUAUUAGGGAAGAACAAAUGUGUAAGUAACUAUGCACGUCUUGACGGUACCUAAUCAGAAAGCCACGGCUAACUACGUG
This 497-nucleotide ribosomal RNA is filed under the name uncultured bacterium. RNAcentral describes it as "partial 16S ribosomal RNA". It matches the Rfam family "Bacterial small subunit ribosomal RNA", at positions 28 to 507 of the family's 1533-position model. The record is from RNAcentral.